Molecule: ribosomal RNA, 898 nt
Filed under: Desulfovibrionaceae bacterium enrichment culture clone MS_NAP_O15
Lineage: Bacteria; Pseudomonadati; Thermodesulfobacteriota; Desulfovibrionia; Desulfovibrionales; Desulfovibrionaceae
Description: bacterial SSU rRNA
Rfam family: Bacterial small subunit ribosomal RNA
Source: RNAcentral
UAACACAUGCAAGUCGAGCGAGAAAGCUCUCUUCGGAGAGUGAGUAGAGCGGCGCACGGGUGAGUAACGCGUGGAUGAUCUACCCUGAAGAUCGGGAUAACAGUUGGAAACGACUGCUAAUACCGUAUAUCCUGCAUAUUUAACUUUAUGUGGUAAAGAUGGCCUCUAUUUAUAAGCUAUCGCUUUGGGAUGAGUCCGCGUCUCAUUAGAUAGUUGGUGGGGUAAUGGCCUACCAAGUCUACGAUGAGUAGCAGGUCUGAGAGGAUGAUCUGCCACACUGGGACUGAAACACGGCCCAGACUCCUACGGGAGGCAGCAGUGGGGAAUAUUGCGCAAUGGGGGAAACCCUGACGCAGCGACGCCGCGUGUAGGAAGAAGGCUUUCGGGUCGUAAACUACUGUCAAGAGGGAAGAAACUGUUUAGGUAUAAUACGCCUAUUCACUGACGGUACCUCUAGAGGAAGCACCGGCUAACUCCGUGCCAGCAGCCGCGGUAAUACGGAGGGUGCGAGCGUUAAUCGGAAUCACUGGGCGUAAAGCGUGCGUAGGCGGCGCAUCAAGUCAGACGUGAAAGCCCUCGGCUCAACCGAGGAAUUGCGUUUGAAACUGGUGUGCUAGAGUCUCGGAGAGGUUAGGGGAAUUCCAGGUGUAGGAGUGAAAUCCGUAGAUAUCUGGAGGAACACCGGUGGCGAAGGCGCCUAACUGGACGAGUACUGACGCUGAGGUACGAAAGCGUGGGGAGCAAACAGGAUUAGAUACCCUGGUAGUCCACGCCGUAAACGAUGGAUAUUAGGUGUCGGGGGUAACCCUUCGGUGCCGCAGUUAACGCGUUAAAUAUCCCGCCUGGGGAGUACGGUCGCAAGGCUGAAAACUCAAAGGAAUUGACGGGGGCCCGCACA